CAAAACAUGUAAAAUUUAUCUUAUAAAUAUUUUAAAAACAUUUAUUUUACGAAAUGCAAAAUAAGUAAAAUAUGACUAAAAUCACCAUGUUUAUUUAUGCUUUGAUCAUCUUUUAUUUUCCGUUUCUUGUUGAAUCCAUUUCUUAUCAGAUAACUAAUAUCCCCUGCAAAACUAAAGAGGAUUGUCCACCAUCAGUAAAAUUUGUUUGGAUAUGCAAAGAAAAAUCUUUUAUGACAAAAUCCAAAGAAAAAUUUUGUGCUAAAGUUACACAAGGAAUAUAUUACGGCCCGGACGCAAAAGGAUGAAUAAGGAUGGUUUUUAUUACUUUGUCUUAAAUUUAAUAUAUAUAUAUAUAUAUAUAUA
This is a long non-coding RNA of Trifolium pratense (red clover), 363 nucleotides long. RefSeq lists it as uncharacterized. The transcript is spliced from 3 exons. NCBI's taxonomy places the organism in Eukaryota, Viridiplantae, Streptophyta, Magnoliopsida, Fabales, Fabaceae. The record is from RefSeq and is a predicted model, not a curated record.